Molecule: ribosomal RNA, 500 nt
Filed under: uncultured bacterium
Lineage: Bacteria
Description: partial 16S ribosomal RNA
Rfam family: Bacterial small subunit ribosomal RNA
Source: RNAcentral
GACGAACGCUGGCGGCGUGCUUAACACAUGCAAGUCGAACGGGCCUGUCUUCUUUUUUGGGGGGUGGGUUGAGUGGCGAACGGGUGAGUAUCACGUGAGUAACCUGCCCUUCGGUCCUGGAUAACCGCUUGAAAGGGCGGCUAAUACGGGGUGGUCCGGUUGGUCCGCAUGGGCUGGUCGGGAUAGAUUCACUGUUUUUGGUGUUUCGGCGGGGGAUGGGCUCGCGGCCUAUCAGCUUGUUGGUGGGGUGAUGGCCUACCAAGGCGGUGACGGGUAGCCGGCCUGAGAGGGUGGGCGGCCACACGGGGACUGAGAUACGGCCCAGACUCCUGCGGGAGGCAGCAGUGGGGGGUAUUGCACAAUGGGCGGAAGCCUGAUGCAGCGACGUCGCGUGAGGGAUGGAGGCCUUCGGGUUGUGAACCUCUGUUUCCGGUGGUGAAGGCCCUGUCCGUGUGGUGGGGUUGACGGUAGCCGGGGAUGAAGCGCCGGCUAACUACGUG